This 179-nucleotide non-coding RNA is filed under the name Gudongella oleilytica. RNAcentral describes it as "6S RNA". It matches the Rfam family "6S / SsrS RNA". Rfam says of the family: E. coli 6S RNA was the first non coding RNA to be sequenced, but its function was unknown until recently. It consists of 184 nucleotides that fold into an extended hairpin structure with a large single-stranded internal bulge. The record is from RNAcentral. Lineage: Bacteria; Bacillati; Bacillota; Tissierellia; Tissierellales; Tissierellaceae. RNAcentral also lists the same sequence under 1 other name.
UAGUUUCUGCGGUGUGCGUUAUUCUCAUAUAAUUCAACCGACAUGUCUUAUACGGGAGUUCGUUGUUCGGGGGUCAAUGACAAGCCUUUCAUGAAAGGUAGUCAGAAGCCUUUGACGGGACACCCACCUGCAAUUAUGCGGGUGUGAAUUAGUUGAGAGGACGGCAUUGCGGGAAUACA